RNAcentral lists this ribosomal RNA (616 nucleotides) under Papiliotrema flavescens. RNAcentral describes it as "partial large subunit ribosomal RNA". It matches the Rfam family "Eukaryotic large subunit ribosomal RNA", at positions 50 to 655 of the family's 3401-position model. Lineage: Eukaryota; Fungi; Basidiomycota; Tremellomycetes; Tremellales; Rhynchogastremaceae. The record is from RNAcentral.
GCGGAGGAAAAGAAACUAACAAGGAUUCCCCUAGUAACGGCGAGUGAACCGGGAAGAGCUCAAAUUUGAAAUCUGGCGUGCUCAGUGCGUCCGAGUUGUAAUCUAUAGAGUCGUUUUCCGUGCCGGACUGUGUCCAAGUCCCUUGGAACAGGGUAUCAAAGAGGGUGAUAAUCCCGUACUUGACACAAUGACCGGUGCUCUGUGAUACGUCUUCUACGAGUCGAGUUGUUUGGGAAUGCAGCUCAAAAUGGGUGGUGAGUUCCAUCUAAAGCUAAAUAUUGGCGAGAGACCGAUAGCGAACAAGUACCGUGAGGGAAAGAUGAAAAGCACUUUGGAAAGAGAGUUAAACAGUACGUGAAAUUGUUAAAAGGGAAACGAUUGAAGUCAGUCGUGACUGAGAGGCUCAGCCGGUUCUGCCGGUGUAUUCCCCUCAGUCGGGUCAACAUCAGUUUUGUUCGGUGGAUAAGGGCGGUUGGAAGGUGGCACCCUCGGGUGUGUUAUAGCCAACUGUCGCAUACAUCGGAUGAGACUGAGGAAUGCAGCUCGCCUUUAUGGCCGGGGUUCGCCCACGUUCGAGCUUAGGAUGUUGACAUAAUGGCUUUAAACGACCCGUCUU